UUGGAUAUGACCCAGGAAAAACAAGGGAAUUUUAAUUGAAAUCACUAUUUAUCGGUUAUUUAGCCCAGUAAUAAAUGCAUAGUAAAUGCGCUCAAUUUAAUUUGAUUUCACCAGUAUAAAAGCACAAAAACCCUAAUUUGAUCAGGAUAAAAGCACACCAUUAGAUCUCACUGCCUCAUUCCUGACGGCUCAUUCAUUCACUCAGAUCUCCUCAGAUGCUAAUCUCUUUGAUUAUCAGGUGAAUUUCUAAAUUCUACUUAUGUUCCUAAAUCAAACAUACGCCUUUGUUUUUCUGUUCCUUUUCUGAGGUUAAUUAAAUUAAUUUCAUAUUCACAUUAGAUAGUCUUGUAUAAUUAUUUGAUCUCCAUUUUUAGAGAUGGCUGAAUUACUGCAAGAAUUUUUGUACAUAUAAACAAAUGAUAUUCUAUUGCAUUAAUACCUUCACCUUUAUGGUAAUCACUCCACAUUUAAAAAAAAUUCUAUUGGAUUCUAUUGCAUUCGAUUUUUAAUUAAAAUUAAUUUAUACCAAGAUAUUCUUUGUUGUGUUGAUUUUUUUUCUUGUUUUCUAAUUAAAAUUAAUUAUUAUCACGAUGGUUUAGAGGAUAUAGAAUAUUACUUCAACCUUACAAGAACGAGACUUUUUAUGUGGUUUUGAACUCUGCAAGUGAUGACAGAUUGACAGGGGCAGAAUUUUUUGUCAAUUUAUCGACUCGGGUGUUAAGUGUUCAACAAAUGAUUUCAAGUAAUUAGGCUAAAGAUUAUUUAAGGGAGUACAAUUUAAGUGUUAUUGGAGUGACCCAAUUCAGCAAGUCAAUUUAAUACAAGUCCAAUUAUAAUCUUUUUAGCAAAAGUCAACAUAUUUUACAUGGGGAAAAGGUCCAAAAAUACUCCUGAUGUUUACUCCGAUAUCCCACUUACACCCUAAACUAUUUUUUUUUUUCAAAAGUGUCCUUAACGUUACAAAUUUAAGGUCAAUUAUACCCCUCCCGUUAACAGACACGCCACCUUGACAAACGGAGCUGACACUUAAACAAAACUUGCUGACAAGGCAAUGCAUACAUGGAAAAUAGCAUGUUAUUAUUAUUAUUAUUGUUAUUAUUAUUUAUUAUUAUUAUUUAUUAUUAUUAUUAUUAUUAUUGAUUUGUCCUUUUCAUUUCAAAAUAUAAAAUUAGUGUUAGAGUUUUAAAUUCAAUUUAAAUAUUUUUUAACAAAAAAAUAUUAUAAUUAAUGAUAGUUUUUAUAUAAUUUAUAAUUAAUAUAAUUUACUAUAUAAAAUUAAUCAAAAUUUAUUUUUAAAAUACCUUAAAUAAUAAUAAUACUCUUCUCCAUCCCCAGGAAGAAUGUUAUCCUCUCUCUCCCUCUCUUCCUUGCCAGAUGACCAAAUCACGAUAAUUCAUUAGUAAGUUGCCUUUUUCCUAAAGAGAGGAUGAGAUACAAGAUUUGGAGCAAAGAAACUUUUGAGAGGAUAAGAUCCAACAAAAAGCCCGCCCAGUUUGGUCUCCCAUCUGCCACUCAUUCAUCAUUCCUGGCGAAAACUUGAAGUGUAAAAAUCCAAUUUUUUCGAUUAUUCGCCAUUUAUUGGGUUUUGAAGUGUAAAAAUCCCUUUUUUCGAAUCAGUCGUUUCUGAAUUGGACACAUUUUGGGGGGGUUUUGAGGUUGAAGGUGAGGUAUCGGGGUUUUUCAAAGUGGGGGGUUUUGAUUUGGGGUUUUGAGAGUUUUGCGUGUGAUGUUCAAAGAAAUGUUUGAUUCCGAAUUUGGAGGGCUGUGAUUGAUGCUGGUUUUGGUUGGAUUUCUUAGAUCCGCCGGCUGAUUUCUUCCGUGGAGCCAUUUCUGUACCUCCGGUAGUAAAUAUUCCUUUGAUUAUUGAUUUACAGUAUAUUUUUUUGAGGCUGCUCGAUGUAGAAGAAGAACCAGAAAAACUUGCACAAGUCUAGAGAGAGAAAUCUAGAGAGACAACGAGUAUCUGUAAAUAAAAAAUGUGCCUAAUCAGCAAUAAUUGUCCACGUGUAAAUAGAGUUAAUCUAGGUGGCUAGUCCGUUAACAGCAAGGGCAUGAGUGACCUGAUUUUUGUAACAUUAAGGGUACUUUUGGAAAAAAAAUUAAUUUAAGGUGGAAAUGGGACAUCUAUGUAUAUUUCGGGGGUAUUUUUGCACCUUUACCCAUUUUACAUGCUAGGGAAGUUUAAUAUUUGCAUGAGUUGGUUUAUUAAUGGGCUGCAGCUUCUUAAGUCAUCAGAUUUUAUAUGAGAUAUAUACAUUGCAUGGCAUCUGACAUCUUGGCAAGGUUGUUGUUCACAUGGGCCACACGUUUUUCUUCAAGAUUAUCAAACUUAUCAAAUUCAAGUGGGUUUUUCAACAAUAAUAAUGGAUUUACCCUGUUCAGCAUAUUAGCUUGGUGGGGUCACGUUUGUUUUUGUUUCAAUAAUCAAGCUGGAUCAUAUCAAAUCGAGUAGUGCACGGAUUUGGAUUAUAAAGGCAGUGACCUUCACGCGGCAAUGGAUUGUUUAUACUCGGCAAGUUCACGUGGUUAAGAAUUUUUAUUUUAUUUGGAUUUUUAAUUUUUAAGUUCUAUUGUAAUUAGGAUUUUUUUUCCAAAUUGACUUCUAUUUCCUUAUAGUAAUUAGGAUUAUAGUUUAUACAUUCCUAUUAGGAUUUGGAUUGUUUUGAGUAGUAUAAAUAGAGGUCCAAGUUAUGUAAUCAAACACAUUAUACAUUAUACAUUAUACAUUAUUCAUUAUUCAAUAUAUUUGUGAGGUUAUUCUCUACUUUUGGUUCUUUGA
RNAcentral lists this long non-coding RNA (2779 nucleotides) under Panax ginseng (ginseng). RNAcentral's name for it is "long non-coding RNA (PGIN_LNC007314)". Lineage: Eukaryota; Viridiplantae; Streptophyta; Magnoliopsida; Apiales; Araliaceae. The record is from RNAcentral.